This 950-nucleotide ribosomal RNA is filed under the name Salmonella enterica. RNAcentral's name for it is "partial 23S ribosomal RNA". It matches the Rfam family "Bacterial large subunit ribosomal RNA", at positions 810 to 1757 of the family's 2925-position model. Lineage: Bacteria; Pseudomonadati; Pseudomonadota; Gammaproteobacteria; Enterobacterales; Enterobacteriaceae. RNAcentral also lists the same sequence under 2 other names. The record is from RNAcentral.
UGUGGCUGGGGGUGAAAGGCCAAUCAAACCGGGAGAUAGCUGGUUCUCCCCGAAAGCUAUUUAGGUAGCGCCUCGUGAAUUCAUCUCCGGGGGUAGAGCACUGUUUCGGCUAGGGGGCCAUCCCGGCUUACCAACCCGAUGCAAACUGCGAAUACCGGAGAAUGUUAUCACGGGAGACACACGGCGGGUGCUAACGUCCGUCGUGAAGAGGGAAACAACCCAGACCGCCAGCUAAGGUCCCAAAGUCAUGGUUAAGUGGGAAACGAUGUGGGAAGGCCCAGACAGCCAGGAUGUUGGCUUAGAAGCAGCCAUCAUUUAAAGAAAGCGUAAUAGCUCACUGGUCGAGUCGGCCUGCGCGGAAGAUGUAACGGGGCUAAACCAUGCACCGAAGCUGCGGCAGCGACGCUGAUGCGUUGUUGGGUAGGGGAGCGUUCUGUAAGCCUGUGAAGGUGGCCUGUGAGGGUUGCUGGAGGUAUCAGAAGUGCGAAUGCUGACAUAAGUAACGAUAAAGCGGGUGAAAAGCCCGCUCGCCGGAAGACCAAGGGUUCCUGUCCAACGUUAAUCGGGGCAGGGUGAGUCGACCCCUAAGGCGAGGCCGAAAGGCGUAGUCGAUGGGAAACGGGUUAAUAUUCCCGUACUUGGUGUUACUGCGAAGGGGGGACGGAGAAGGCUAUGUUGGCCGGGCGACGGUUGUCCCGGUUUAAGCGUGUAGGUGUGUGUUCCAGGUAAAUCCGGUUCACUUUAACACUGAGGCGUGAUGACGAGGCACUACGGUGCUGAAGCAACAAAUGCCCUGCUUCCAGGAAAAGCCUCUAAGCAUCAGGUAACAUCAAAUCGUACCCCAAACCGACACAGGUGGUCAGGUAGAGAAUACCAAGGCGCUUGAGAGAACUCGGGUGAAGGAACUAGGCAAAAUGGUGCCGUAACUUCGGGAGAAGGCACGCUGACAC